UAAUAAGUGUUUUAUGGCACUUUUUAAAUCCAUAUCCACCUUGUGUGCAAUGUCAGUCGAUCUUCUUUAUUGAGAUCGACCAAACAUCAACCUUUAUUUUUAACUCUUUGUCUGAAAAAUAUUAUGAAUAAACAAUUCAAAAUA
This 144-nucleotide unclassified non-coding RNA is filed under the name soil metagenome. RNAcentral's name for it is "partial internal transcribed spacer 1". The record is from RNAcentral.